This 550-nucleotide ribosomal RNA is filed under the name uncultured bacterium. Its description in RNAcentral is "bacterial SSU rRNA". It matches the Rfam family "Bacterial small subunit ribosomal RNA", at positions 355 to 896 of the family's 1533-position model. The record is from RNAcentral.
UAGGGAAUCUUCGGCAAUGGACGGAAGUCUGACCGAGCAACGCCGCGUGAGUGAAGAAGGUUUUCGGAUCGUAAAGCUCUGUUGUAAGAGAAGAACGAGUGUGAGAGUGGAAAGUUCACACUGUGACGGUAUCUUACCAGAAAGGGACGGCUAACUACGUGCCAGCAGCCGCGGUAAUACGUAGGUCCCGAGCGUUGUCCGGAUUUAUUGGGCGUAAAGCGAGCGCAGGCGGUUAGAUAAGUCUGAAGUUAAAGGCUGUGGCUUAACCAUAGUAGGCUUUGGAAACUGUUUAACUUGAGUGCAAGAGGGGAGAGUGGAAUUCCAUGUGUAGCGGUGAAAUGCGUAGAUAUAUGGAGGAACACCGGUGGCGAAAGCGGCUCUCUGGCUUGUAACUGACGCUGAGGCUCGAAAGCGUGGGGAGCAAACAGGGUUAGAUACCCUGGUAGUCCACGCCGUAAACGAUGAGUGCUAGGUGUUAGACCCUUUCCGGGGUUUAGUGCCGCAGCUAACGCAUUAAGCACUCCGCCUGGGGAGUACGACCGCAAGGUUG